AUUUCUACUUGUUUUUUCUUUUCUUGUUUUUGUUUGUUUGUUUUGUCUUGUUUUGUUUUAUCCAACUGUAGGUACUCCAGAGGCUGGUGGACCUGAGCGGAGGCUGGGACGCCCUGGUGGGCCCCGGGCCCUGGAAGGCAGGUCCCGGUGGCUGGUGGCCCAGAAUGAGGCCAGCUCCCAGCAUGCCCUGCAGCCGGACACCAGCCACUCGGCCUGCAGCAACGGUGGUAAUAACCCAGUCAUUCUUCAGGCAUCCAGCAAGGAGCCUGGGAGUGGGACCAUGCAGAGCAGCCCCUCCCCUGCUCAUCCUCAGCUCCCAAUCCUACAGACACAGGUUUGAAAGUGGGAAAGGAUCCUUUGAUUAUUUUCUGUGAACUCACUCAUGGCUUUGAGAUAGAAGUGGUGUUGCAGGCCUGAAUACCCACACAAAUAGCUGAGUUUGAACUCUCUCAAAUAGAUAGGGGUAUAAUAUAUGUGAAGCCUAAAUUUUUCUUUUUUAAUUUGGUUUUCUAAGACAAGAGUUUU
This 525-nucleotide long non-coding RNA is filed under the name Rattus norvegicus (Norway rat). RNAcentral describes it as "long non-coding RNA NONRATT001227". The record is from RNAcentral. Lineage: Eukaryota; Metazoa; Chordata; Mammalia; Rodentia; Muridae.